This 1504-nucleotide ribosomal RNA is filed under the name Helicobacter pylori. RNAcentral describes it as "bacterial SSU rRNA". It matches the Rfam family "Bacterial small subunit ribosomal RNA". Lineage: Bacteria; Pseudomonadati; Campylobacterota; Epsilonproteobacteria; Campylobacterales; Helicobacteraceae. The record is from RNAcentral.
UUUAUGGAGAGUUUGAUCCUGGCUCAGAGUGAACGCUGGCGGCGUGCCUAAUACAUGCAAGUCGAACGAUGAGGCUUCUAGCUUGCUAGAAGACUGAUUAGUGGCGCACGGGUGAGUAACGCAUAGGUUAUGUGCCUCUUAGUUUGGGAUAGCCAUUGGAAACGAUGAUUAAUACCAGAUACUCCCUACGGGGGAAAGAUUUAUCGCUAAGAGAUCAGCCUAUGUCCUAUCAGCUUGUUGGUAAGGUAAUGGCUUACCAAGGCUAUGACGGGUAUCCGGCCUGAGAGGGUGAACGGACACACUGGAACUGAGACACGGUCCAGACUCCUACGGGAGGCAGCAGUAGGGAAUAUUGCUCAAUGGGGGAAACCCUGAAGCAGCAACGCCGCGUGGAGGAUGAAGGUUUUAGGAUUGUAAACUCCUUUUGUUAGAGAAGAUAAUGACGGUAUCUAACGAAUAAGCACCGGCUAACUCCGUGCCAGCAGCCGCGGUAAUACGGAGGGUGCAAGCGUUACUCGGAAUCACUGGGCGUAAAGAGCGCGUAGGCGGGAUAGUCAGUCAGGUGUGAAAUCCUAUGGCUUAACCAUAGAACUGCAUUUGAAACUACUAUUCUAGAGUGUGGGAGAGGUAGGUGGAAUUCUUGGUGUAGGGGUAAAAUCCGUAGAGAUCAAGAGGAAUACUCAUUGCGAAGGCGACCUGCUGGAACAUUACUGACGCUGAUUGCGCGAAAGCGUGGGGAGCAAACAGGAUUAGAUACCCUGGUAGUCCACGCCCUAAACGAUGGAUGCUAGUUGUUGGAGGGCUUAGUCUUUCCAGUAAUGCAGCUAACGCAUUAAGCAUCCCGCCUGGGGAGUACGGUCGCAAGAUUAAAACUCAAAGGAAUAGACGGGGACCCGCACAAGCGGUGGAGCAUGUGGUUUAAUUCGAAGAUACACGAAGAACCUUACCUAGGCUUGACAUUGAGAGAAUCCGCUAGAAAUAGUGGAGUGUCUGGCUUGCCAGACCUUGAAAACAGGUGCUGCACGGCUGUCGUCAGCUCGUGUCGUGAGAUGUUGGGUUAAGUCCCGCAACGAGCGCAACCCCCUUUCUUAGUUGCUAACAGGUUAUGCUGAGAACUCUAAGGAUACUGCCUCCGUAAGGAGGAGGAAGGUGGGGACGACGUCAAGUCAUCAUGGCCCUUACGCCUAGGGCUACACACGUGCUACAAUGGGGUGCACAAAGAGAAGCAAUACUGCGAAGUGGAGCCAAUCUUCAAAACAUCUCUCAGUUCGGAUUGUAGGCUGCAACUCGCCUGCAUGAAGCUGGAAUCGCUAGUAAUCGCAAAUCAGCCAUGUUGCGGUGAAUACGUUCCCGGGUCUUGUACUCACCGCCCGUCACACCAUGGGAGUUGUGUUUGCCUUAAGUCAGGAUGCUAAAUUGGCUACUGCCCACGGCACACACAGCGACUGGGGUGAAGUCGUAACAAGGUAACCGUAGGUGAACCUGCGGUUGGAUCACCUCCUUU